This 786-nucleotide ribosomal RNA is filed under the name uncultured marine bacterium. RNAcentral's name for it is "bacterial SSU rRNA". It matches the Rfam family "Bacterial small subunit ribosomal RNA", at positions 14 to 794 of the family's 1533-position model. The record is from RNAcentral.
UGAUCCUGGCUCAGAUUGAACGCUGGCGGCAGGCUUAACACAUGCAAGUCGAGCGGGGAAAGGUAGCUUGCUACUGGACCUAGCGGCGGACGGGUGAGUAAUGCUUAGGAAUCUGCCUAUUAGUGGGGGACAACAUUCCGAAAGGAAUGCUAAUACCGCAUACGCCCUACGGGGGAAAGCAGGGGAUCUUCGGACCUUGCGCUAAUAGAUGAGCCUAAGUCGGAUUAGCUAGUUGGUGGGGUAAAGGCCUACCAAGGCGACGAUCUGUAGCGGGUCUGAGAGGAUGAUCCGCCACACUGGGACUGAGACACGGCCCAGACUCCUACGGGAGGCAGCAGUGGGGAAUAUUGGACAAUGGGCGGAAGCCUGAUCCAGCCAUGCCGCGUGUGUGAAGAAGGCCUUUUGGUUGUAAAGCACUUUAAGCGAGGAGGAGGCUCCUUUAGUUAAUACCUAAAGAGAGUGGACGUUACUCGCAGAAUAAGCACCGGCUAACUCUGUGCCAGCAGCCGCGGUAAUACAGAGGGUGCGAGCGUUAAUCGGAUCUACUGGGCGUAAAGCGUGCGUAGGCGGCUUUUUAAGUCGGAUGUGAAAUCCCUGAGCUUAACUUAGGAAUUGCAUUCGAUACUGGGAGGCUAGAGUAUGGGAGAGGAUGGUAGAAUUCCAGGUGUAGCGGUGAAAUGCGUAGAGAUCUGGAGGAAUACCGAUGGCGAAGGCAGCCAUCUGGCCUAAUACUGACGCUGAGGUACGAAAGCAUGGGGAGCAAACAGGAUUAGAUACCCUGGUAGU